This 499-nucleotide ribosomal RNA is filed under the name uncultured bacterium. RNAcentral's name for it is "bacterial SSU rRNA". It matches the Rfam family "Bacterial small subunit ribosomal RNA", at positions 28 to 526 of the family's 1533-position model. The record is from RNAcentral.
GAUGAACGCUGGCGGCGUGCCUAACACAUGCAAGUCGAACGGAGUGCCUAGGACAAACAUUUCGGUGGGCGUCUUAGGUAACUGAGUGGCGGACGGGUGAGUAACGCGUGGACAACCUGCCGUGUACAGGGGGAUAACAGCCGGAAACGGCUGCUAAUACCGCAUAUGCGCACAGUGCCGCAUGGCACAGGGCGGAAAACGUUAGUGGUACACGAUGGAUCCGCGUCUGAUUAGAUAGUUGGCGGGGUAACGGCCCACCAAGUCGACGAUCAGUAGCCGGCCUGAGAGGGCGGACGGCCACACUGGGACUGAGACACGGCCCAGACUCCUGCGGGAGGCAGCAGUGGGGAAUCUUGCACAAUGGGGGGAACCCUGAUGCAGCGACGCCGCGUGAAGGAAGAAGUAUUUCGGUAUGUAAACUUCUAUCAGCAGGGAAGAAAAAGGACGGUACCUGACUAAGAAGCCCCGGCUAACUACGUGCCAGCCGCCGCAGUAAAAC